GGACUACUGGGGUAUCUAAUCCUGUUUGCUCCCCACGCUUUCGCGUCUCAGCGUCAGUCAUCGUCCAGAAGGCCGCCUUCGCCGCAGGUGUUCUGCUUGAUAUCUACGAAUUUCACCUCUACACCAAGCAUUCCACCUUCCUCUCCGAGACUCCAGCGAUGCAGUUUCGGAUGCACUUCCACGGUUGAGCCGUGGGAUUUCACAUCCGACUUGCAAAGCCGCCUACACGCGCUUUACGCCCAGUAAAUCCGAACAACGUUUGCACCCUCUGUCUUACCGCGGCUGCUGGCAC
RNAcentral lists this ribosomal RNA (292 nucleotides) under uncultured bacterium. RNAcentral describes it as "partial 16S ribosomal RNA". The record is from RNAcentral.